Molecule: ribosomal RNA, 445 nt
Filed under: uncultured bacterium
Lineage: Bacteria
Description: partial 16S ribosomal RNA
Rfam family: Bacterial small subunit ribosomal RNA
Source: RNAcentral
GUGAGGAAUAUUGGUCAAUGGGCGGAAGCCUGAACCAGCCAUCCCGCGUGAAGGAAGGCGGCCCUAUGGGUUGUAAACUUCUUUAGUACAUGAAGAACAGGAUCUACGCGUAGGUUUAUGACGGUAAUGUACAAAAAAGCAUCGGCUAACUCCGUGCCAGCAGCCGCGGUAAUACGGAGGAUGCGAGCGUUAUCCGGAUUCAUUGGGUUUAAAGGGUACGUAGGUGGCCCUGUAAGUCAGUGGUGAAAAUCUGCCGCUUAACGGUAGGGGUGCCAAUGAUACUGCGGGGGUUGAGUACAGUUGAGGUAGGUGGAAUGUGUAGUGUAGCGGUGAAAUGCAUAGAUAUUACACAGAACUCCGAUUGCGAAGGCAUCUUACUAAGCUGAAACUGACACUGAUGUACGAAAGCGUGGGGAUCGAACAGGAUUAGAUACCCGGGUAGUCC